Molecule: long non-coding RNA, 2566 nt
Organism: Ahaetulla prasina
Lineage: Eukaryota; Metazoa; Chordata; Lepidosauria; Squamata; Colubridae
Exons: 3
Source: RefSeq, a predicted model, not a curated record
CCUACAAUAUUGAAACUAGGGAGGACUAAUUUGGGGUGUGUAAGUGAAACAGAUUUCUGCAGAGAGCACAACUUCACUGCCACAAUUAUUUCUACAAUAUUUGGUGUACCUCAGAAUUUUCAAGUUAUUUCAAAGGGAUUUCACCAGGGAAUACUAUGCGGACAAUCAGGGGUGUCAAACUCAAGGCCCGCAGGCUAGAUCCGGCCCCUCAAUGAAAUCGAGUCUGACACCCCUGCACUAGAUACUGAAUUCAGCAUGGAUGAGUUUACCUUUUAACCACUGUGUUAAAGUAUGUUAUGUCAACUUAACAAGAGGAUGCUAUGACAUCCUGACUGUAUUUGCUCUGCAAGACAUUCCUGGUGAACCAUUUGUCCCUCCCCCCUCAUCCCGCCAAUUUUGUUGCUUAUUUUCCUCACCAUCUGCAGACUGAAUGGGUGUUGUGGCAGAGGGCAUGGCAGGCAUCACUUGGCAAGAUAGCUUUAAAAGCCUUCCUCCUGCAUUGCUGUCAGAUGAUCAAGCCCUGAAGGGCCAGAACAAAUGCUUCUAGGAGUUUUGUUGCAUGACAGUAGUAUAGCUUGUGAUCUGAGUCUUUUCCCCCCAGUCAAGUCUGCUGAACUGAGCUGUAAAGCAGAAGGCACAGUAGGCAGACGAUUCCGGAAAAACAUCUUGCCUGAACUGCGGAAGAAUCUUUCAAAAUUCAGAUUGGAUCCUUACUAUAUUACAGAAGUGUAAUCAGUUAUGUUGCCAUGGAAGUAAUACACAUCUUAAGCUGGCAGGGGAUUGGACCAGAGCUCAGAGCAAAACGUUUAAUGAUGUGCCCUGAAAAAGAUGGUUGUCACUUCUUUGCAAAGUGCAAACAAGGCCAGGAAGCAAGACGUUCCAUACUGGGAGGGAUGCCACUGAGAAAUUGCUCUUAGUCCAGAGUUCAGCCACCUUUUUCUGCCUAUGGAUUAGGGCCCACUCUCUGCUGCUGUCACCACCGUUUCCAGAGGACUUGGUGUUAAGCCCCUACUAAACUGGCAGGUAAAGCUGUUGCCAAAAUGGCCACCUAAGGAGAUGAUGAGUGCACUCUCCAUUUCUCUUUAAGGCCAGAUGAAUAUAUGCCUUUCUGGGAUUAGGGGGAUAUGAAUUCAGGUGACAGGUCACAUCUAGCCCACCAGCUGUAGCUGCCAACCUGCUUUAGGCAUUCACUCUUCUCAUGAUCAACACACUGCGUGAACUGAUUCUGCAAAUGCUUUAAAGGUGAAAACCAGCACUCUUUUUUCGCAGUCUUUCCAAGAAAUCCCACUGGGUGAGAAAAACUUUCUGACCAGCGCUAUCCAUAUGCCUUUUGACAUUUAUAUUCGUAUCAUAGCUAUGUAAGAUUGCCCUAUACAGAAAAGAAAUUCCAUGCUGUGCAGGUCAAUGUGAACGUCAAAAGUUGUACACCUGUCCCCAAAAUAAAUGAGUUACAUUUGAGAAAGUCUUUUUUUUUAAAAAGAAAAGAAAAAGAACAGAUAGAUACUCUUUAUUAGCUAAUAUGCUUCCUAGAAGCAGAGUGAUUGACUUAUCGGAUGGUCCUUUACAAUCAGAAUUCAAGGACAGUUUAUUCAGUGGUUCAACACCAGCAUCUACUAUACUCCCAAUCCUUCUAGUAGAAAUCCAUCUCUUUCUUUAGAUUUUCCUCUGUUAUCUCCCCUUUGCAGGAGAAGAUAUUUAAUAUGAAAGAGUUCUUUAGCUUACUGGACAAUUCUGGAAGUUUGCACUUUGAUAAGCUGAAAGUGGAAAUACAGCAUUUCAGCAGUAAUGAAAAUUCACCUAUCAAAGCACAAUUGAGGUGGUUGUGUACUUUCUGAUAGGCAGAUCAAUUAAAUCAGGAUUAGUUGCUGAUCUCUUGUCCCAUAUUAAAAGUUAUGGUCGGUGCUGUGCUGGAACAAUGCAAGACAUCUGUGCACAGACCCUCUGCAGCCUAAUCCAAUAGCUAUAUUAAAGCCAAUUUUUGUAUUUGAAAUGCACGUGUCCCCAUUUAUUCCAAAAUAAGCAAAAUAAAAGCCUGGGUUAUAAUAAUUAGAUUUGUAUUUCUUAAGUAUGUUUACAAUUUUGAUCAAAAUCUCUUCAUUGACUGAAAGCUUUAACUAGAGAACCAAUACUUGUAUGUAUUUGGUUUGAUAACUACUGAUGAAAGUCCCUUUGUUCAAAUCAUAUUUGGGCCAUUUAUUCCGAGUGUUAUAUGUUGCAAUGAUAUUUUCAGCUAUACUUCUUGAUAAGAUUGACCAGAACAAAAUGUGUUGUGUAAGAAGUCGGGGCGUCCCCAACCUUGAAGCUCCAGUUCCUGAUUGUUUAUUGGAAAAUACAAAUACAGACAUGCAUAUUUCACACAAAAAGCAAAGGUGAUUCUAAACUGAAUUUAAAUAAUGAUUUUCUGUGACGAGUAAUUUAAUGAACUUCACAAAGGAAAAAGAUUUGAACCUGAAUUUCCAGAGAUCCAAGCCCAAUGUUUUAACCAAUUAAACUACAUUACCUAUAACAUCAAUUGUAUUCUUGAUAACAAUUUGGAAUAGUAAUCUUGUAUACAACUGUAGAGAGA